AUGGCAAAGUCAAAAAAGAGCAAGGAAAAUAAUAUAGUAGGGAGUGUUGUUACUCGUCAGGUGAAACGGAAAAGGAUUUGCCGUCGAGAUUCUGCUGGUACUUAUAGUGCAGUAGAAGGUCCAAGUCCACCGGCUAAAUCUACAAACACAGUAUCACCUGCUCCACCAGCUGCAGCAUCCGCUUCAAUUGUACCAGCAUCUCAACCAGUUACUCGUUUGUUUGCUCCGGAACUGGCCAGUUCCCAAGCUACCUUCACACCUAACACUACUUCUGAAGCACUGCUGACACAACAGGCCUUGGCAAGAUCAGAUGAACCUCAUGAGCAUCAACACCAAGACGCACCACGGCGCAAGCGGAAACAGACAUUAGGGAUAAUGCUUGACAGAUUAACAAAAUCUAAAGGAGGAAGAAUGGAGAUCCAUUUUGAGGCAGGUUUAAAAAGGCCACGUAAUGCUGCAGAGUCAGCCAAGUUAGUAUCAAAGGCAGCCGUUGCCGUUAGGUGUCAUGCACGUAUCCUUCCAACGUGGAUCCAGUACAGGAAUGAGAAAGACAAUACCCAGUUUAACACCUUCCUUGACCUUUUAUCCAUAAAUGAGGUUCAAGUUGGAUCCGAAAGAUGA
RNAcentral lists this ribosomal RNA (621 nucleotides) under Triticum aestivum (bread wheat). RNAcentral's name for it is "partial small subunit ribosomal RNA". Lineage: Eukaryota; Viridiplantae; Streptophyta; Magnoliopsida; Poales; Poaceae. The record is from RNAcentral.